Molecule: ribosomal RNA, 382 nt
Filed under: uncultured eukaryote
Lineage: Eukaryota
Description: partial 18S ribosomal RNA
Rfam family: Eukaryotic small subunit ribosomal RNA
Source: RNAcentral
UGUAAGCGUAUACCAAAGUUGUUGCAGUUAAAACGCUCGUAGUCGGAAUUUGGCAGUUCCGGAAGUGUGCACGUCGUGUGCGCACUUUGCGGGGACUGCUUUUGUGGUCUUGCGUAGGAUGAGGCACUUUCAUUAGUGAACGUCCUCACGCAACCACUCUUUACUGUGAGAAAAUCAGAGUGCUCAAAGCAGGCAUUUGCCGUGAAUGUAUUAGCAUGGAAUAAUAGAAUAGGACUCGGUUCUAUUUUGCUGGUUUGUUGGGACUGAGUAAUGAUUAAGAGGGACAGUUGGGGGCAUUUGUAUUCCGGCGCUAGAGGUGAAAUUCUUUGAUUGCCGGAAGACAAACUGCUGCGAAAGCGUCUGCCAAGGAUGUUUUCAUUGA